Molecule: long non-coding RNA, 1574 nt
Organism: Arvicola amphibius (Eurasian water vole)
Lineage: Eukaryota; Metazoa; Chordata; Mammalia; Rodentia; Cricetidae
Exons: 3
Source: RefSeq, a predicted model, not a curated record
CCGCCAACAUGUGACGGGGUCUGCCUGCCACUUAGGGCGGGGCUCAGGACCGCCACACAGCUCGCCAGGUGGUAUUAAUGAGACCCCGUCCUCAUCAGGUUGGAGCCGCUUCUCUAGGGAGCAUCUGUGAAAAACUGGUUGCUGUGCCCAUUCGUCUGGCCAUGAAUUCAGCAAAUAUUUACUGAGGGGGAAAGGAAAUUUUCACACACGAAUGUAAUGACUUUUGGUCACCCGCUGAAACUUUCCUUCCCAGGUUGCUUGCCUGAGCACAGAGGAGGGUAUUUAUUGGAGCAUGGACUACGUAUCAGCUACGCCACUGAAGAACACUACUCCCGCCAGCAACCUUUAACUGCCAAUAGCCCCUCAAAGGAGGGUGGAGCCUCACCAGUCCUUCCCCGUCCCCCACCCAGUAUGAAAUACUGAUGGGCCAAAUCUGGGAUUUUGUGCAGUGUGGACAAACCAAGGGGCAAGAGAGAACGAUUUAUUAGAAUAACCUACAGGCUGUGGUCCAGCUCGUUCAACAAUGGCUGUUUACCAAUGGAAGGACCAAGAAUCCAGUAAGUGUUCAGACCACAAAGCUGCAUGUCUCAUCUGGUCUUCAGUAUACACUGAAAUCAAAAGAAGUAGGCUCUAACGCCAGUGAAGGAAUGGACUUGCCAUCGAGAGUGACCAAGCAGAAAAGAGAGAGCAAGCUUCCUGCCUCCACGUCCUUUACAGGCUGCCAGUAGAAGGUGUGGUUCAGUUUAACAGUUAUCUUCCUACCUCAAAGAUCUGGACUAAAAGUAGGUCUUCCCUCUUCAACUGAUCUAAUUAACAACAACAACAACAACAACAAUAAUAAUAAUAAUAAUAAUUCCUCACAGGUGUGUCCAAUCAUUUGGGUUUUAGUAAAUUCCACAUGUAGUCAAGUUGACAGACAAGAACAGACAUCAUGAUAGGUGUUGUGUAACAGUUUCCUCCUGGGAUUAAAACGUCCCAUCCUGCAGGAAGCUCCGUAAGCAGGAAGGUAAACAAUUCAAACCAGUUUCAGGAAGUCCCUGAAACCUACCAAAUUCAUUAGGCCUUGCCUUGCCAUAGUAAGCAAUAAAAGCUGGGAGUUUUUCUUAGCCAAAGUGAAGCUGAGCAGCUUCACUCUGAAGAGCAGACCAGUUUCCUGGAAAAAGCAGAAGCAGCUAAGCUGCCUGGAAGAGAUUUGAAUCGACUUGAGUUACUUGGAAACGACGGUCUCCAGCCUGCUAAACUAUCUGCAGGCUGUGCAGUGCGCUUCCGAUUCCCAGCUUUUUUGAGAUGUCAACCCUGUUGGAGUGGGCUUUGGUGAUGCAGCUGUCUUUUAGUCAUUUUUGCUCCCAUAAGUAACCCCAAUAAAACUCACUGGUUCACCAAAUUGGAUUUUGGUGGGUUUUGUACUUUGAUCUACUGUGGGUUCCCUGUGUUUUGCGCUUCCCCAGGAGACAUUCUGUCACACAACAAUAGGCCUUUUUUAACUGGCCAAAGGUGAAAAUAAAAAAGAGGGGCGAUAGAAUUUCACAGUCUUUUAAGUUUUAUGUGUAUUGGUGUUUUACCUGCAUGUAUGU